RNAcentral lists this unclassified non-coding RNA (313 nucleotides) under plant metagenome. Its description in RNAcentral is "partial contains 5.8S ribosomal RNA, internal transcribed spacer 2, and large subunit ribosomal RNA". The stretch from base 1 to 105 matches the Rfam family "5.8S ribosomal RNA", at positions 50 to 154 of the family's 154-position model. The record is from RNAcentral.
GAAAUGCGAUACGUAGUGUGAAUUGCAGAAUUCAGUGAAUCAUCGAAUCUUUGAACGCACAUUGCGCCCUUUGGUAUUCCAAAGGGCAUGCCUGUUCGAGCGUCAUUUGUACCCUCAAGCUUUGCUUGGUGUUGGGCGUCUUUUGUCUUUGGCCUCGCCCAAAGACUCGCCUUAAAACGAUUGGCAGCCGGCCUACUGGUUUCGCAGCGCAGCACAUUUUUGCGCUUGCAAUCAGCACGAGGACGGCAAUCCAUCAAGACUACAUUUUUACGUUUGACCUCGGAUCAGGUAGGGAUACCCGCUGAACUUAAGC